UACAUACAUACACACAUACAUAUUGUUAUAGUAAAAUAUAUAUUUCACAGUAUCACUGUUUAUGUCAUCAUCACCAUUAUCAUCAUCACAAAGCUCCUACACGAUCACUCAACUCGCUAGAAAUAGCAGCCAAAAUUUCCUUUAAAACCACACUCUACCGUCUUAAACGAGGAAACAAAUUAGUUAAUAUGGUCCUAAAUGCCUUUAGUGAGGUGAUUGUCAAGGCUAGACUACUUCCAGUUAUAAGUCUGCAUGAUCACAGUUGACUUUGAGCUAAACAACAACUAACACUCUAUCCUGUUGUCUUGUUUUAUGAACAUCUUUUUGAUGUUUUUUUUUUUUUUUGCUCAUCUAAAAGUAUGAGAAGCUGGCAAACUUAUAAGACAAAAUCAUCUUCAUUCAUAUUUGUUAUGUAAUCUUCCUUCCUCUCUCCCCACUCUCUCUCUCUCUCAUCCACUUUCAGACUAUCACCAGGCAGGAUGUCACCAGGGGGUUGGAGGGGAAAAUGGUUUUGGUUCUCUGAAAUAAAUCUAAGCUAUCUCAUCUUCAAGACUGUUUCUUAUUCUGCCCCCAUCACAUCCUCUCAUUCUUCACUUCUCCAACACUUUGUCAGUGCCUGAAUCUCUGCUACCUCUGUCUAAUUAGUUACGUCUCAGUUGGAAACCCUUCUUGUUUAUUGUAGCUACUCUGAGUACCUGGUGCUACUCACCCUACUGGUUGGUUAUUUAGUUGGACAUUGACUGUGUUUUGAUAGACUAAUGGUAGAAGUUGAACCCAGACUAGGUUUGUUUUUAUUCAAUGACCAAUGACUUAAGAGGAGAUCAUGGUUUUCAUUGAAUGUCAUGAGAUAAGUGAAUUAAGGGGAAAAUCAGAUUUUGAGGGAAUGGUAGGUGAAUGGUUGUGUUGCAAAAAAGGAGAGGCGGUUAGCACUCCCUUUGACAAGGAUGGAAGAGAUCAAUCGAUCUUUCCAACACAUAUGGGCAUUGCUCUCUACUUUAGAGCAACCUAUUUAAAAAUAGGUGGCGAGUUGGCAGAAACAUUAGGAUGCCGGGCGAAAUGCUUAGCAGUAUUUCGUCUGCCGUUACAUUCUGAGUUCAAAUUCCACCGAGGUCGACUUUGCCUUUCAUUCUUUCAGGGUCGAUUAAAUAAGUACCAGUUACACACUGGGGUUGAUGUAAUCAACUUAAUCCCUUUGUCUGUCCUUGUUUGUCCUCUUUGUGUUUAGCCCCUUGUGAGUAAUUAAGAAAUAGGUAGGUGAUAUGAGGGCAGAUGAGAUUUUACCAGAGAGGUAGAGAGAUGAUUUGGGGACCAGGCAUUUGAAAAUAUUUUUUUGUUUUUGUUGUUGUUGUUAAUUGACUACAUGGCAGGGGAGGGGAUAUAGAUGUGUGUCUCAAUUUCAUGAAACACAUUUCAAGGGAUUUUUACAACUGAAUCAUUUCUGUAGGAUAUCAGAAUAUUUUCUAUACUAUUGGAACUCUUCAACAUAUAUAUAUAUAUAUAUAAACGCACAUAUGUGCACACACACACACACACACACACACUAAUUCAUGUCUAUUUUCCAUGCUGGCAUGGGUUGGACAGUUCAACAAGAUCCAACAGAUCAGAGGACCGGUUUUGCCAUGGUUUCUACUGCUGGAUGCUCUUCCUGAUCCCAAACACUUUACAGAGUGUACCAGGUGCUCUUUUUUUUUUUGGCACAACCACAAUAGACAUUUCCAUGUAACUUGCAGUUGAAGAACCUCCUCAACUGAGAAGAGCAGUUUUGAGCGAAGUGUCUUUAUUGGGGAUGUUGGGAGGCAAAAGUAUAAUAGAAGGGGACAAGUACAAGAUGUAACAGAGAUGCAUGGCUACCCACACAUUAUAUGAAGGUAAAUGGGAGCAAAUGUGGUAUAAAGGCCUUGUGCCUUUAGUAGAAAGGAUUAUUAUUAUUAUUAUUAUUAGGAUUGGGUAGCAAGCUGGCAGAAUGUUAAGUGCAUCAGACAAAAUACUUUGUGGCAUUUUUUUCCAGCUCUUUGCAUUCAGAGUUCAAAUUCUGGUGAGGUCAACUUUGCCUUUCAUCCUUCCAGGGUCAAUAUAAUAAGUAUCAGGUUAUGUAAUUGACUCAUCCCAGCACCCCUAAAAUUGCUAGUCUUCUAUCAAAAUUGAAGACAUUUAUUAUCCGGGUGAUCUAGAGGCAGAAAUGGUUGAGUGAUGGACAAAUAUGUUGGGGCCUUGUGCCUGGGUUGAAAUGCAUCAUCAUCAUCAUCAUCACUACCACCACAUUUACUCAUCAGGUAGUCCCCCCCCCCCAACUUACAUACACUCUCAAAAGUUUUGUUUUAUCUUCUCUUUUCUGCUAUCCAUUAAGGUGUUGAAGAGAAACUUUAAUGUUUCCAGCUGCCCGGUGUCAUAAACAAACAAACUAUAUAUAUAUAUAUAUAUAUAUAUAUAUAUAUAUAUAUAUAUAUAUAUAUAUAUAUAUAUAUAUA
RNAcentral lists this long non-coding RNA (2468 nucleotides) under Octopus sinensis (East Asian common octopus). The record is from RNAcentral. Lineage: Eukaryota; Metazoa; Mollusca; Cephalopoda; Octopoda; Octopodidae.